Long non-coding RNA from Teleopsis dalmanni, 978 nucleotides. RefSeq lists it as uncharacterized. The record is from RefSeq and is a predicted model, not a curated record. NCBI's taxonomy places the organism in Eukaryota, Metazoa, Arthropoda, Insecta, Diptera, Diopsidae. The transcript is spliced from 2 exons.
AUUUAAAAGCAUAUUGUCUAUGGGAAUUGUAUGUGUCACUCACUUAUGAGAGCUAACAAGGAUCUGCGAACUGAAAUUGCUAAUAUGAGUAGCAUUGGCCAUGCAGAAAGUGGCGGAAACGAAAGGGUCACUACUUUCUUAGUUUAUACGCAAUUUUGUUUUUAUUUAUUUUUGAACAAAUUGUGCAGUGUUGCGUGAAGCAAACUUUUUAAUCAAAUUUUUUAACAAAAGGGAGAUUUGAGGACAUGUGCAGUGUGGAAAUGUGUGGAAGUGUGUUUCUGAAAUUCCAAGAAGUUUUCUUUCAAGUGAAGCAACAGAGAAUUUGUCGUCGGUACUUCAAAUAAAUCACAAAUGCAACUUUUAUUACGAAUACAAAUCCCUUUUGUUGCCACUGGUGUUCGCAGUGCCUUGCGAGGACGAAACUUUAGAGCCGCAGCAAUACAAAAACUCCACGUAUGAGGAGAGGUGGAAGUAGAAGGAGAAGGCGCAGCCGAAGUACACGUAGAAUAUAAGAAGCAAAAUGGGCAACACAUCGUAUUAGGCUUGUUGUGUGAUGCGUCAGAUUGCGACAACAUACACGCAUCUCCUCCCGAAGGAUUCGUAUUCGUAUAAGCAACAAAACAUAAUAAAAGUGCCUCUGCACAUUUCAGUCAAUUCUAAUGUGAAAGUACAUUAAGGAGCGCCUGUAUUACCCUCCAUCACUUGCCACUUGCCACUUACCACUUACCAUUUACCACUUUAAUUUCCAUUUUAGGCAUGUAAUCGACUCUUUGCCUGUAGUUGUGUUGUGUUGAGUAUUUUCAUUCACGAACACAGCCACAGCCACACACACUCAAAGUCAAGUGAAAAUAGUAAAAUAACAUUAAAAGUGACUUAAAAAAGAAGGAGAAUAUAGCGAAUUUCCGCAGAACAAAAAAAAGCAAAAGCAAAAGAAAAAAACACAAAACACAGAAAACACAGAAAACGACAAAAGCGCAA